This 468-nucleotide ribosomal RNA is filed under the name uncultured bacterium. Its description in RNAcentral is "partial 16S ribosomal RNA". It matches the Rfam family "Bacterial small subunit ribosomal RNA", at positions 28 to 507 of the family's 1533-position model. The record is from RNAcentral.
GACGAACGCUGGCGGCGUGCUUAACACAUGCAAGUCGAACGGAAAGGCCCUGCUUUUGUGGGGUGCUCGAUUGGCGAACGGGUGUGUAACACGUGAGUAACCUGCCCUUGACUUUGUGAUAACUUCAGGAAACUGGGGCUAAUACCGGAUAGGAGCUCCUGCUGCAUGGUGGGGGUUGGAAAGUUUCGGCGGUUGGGGAUGGACUCGCGGCUUAUCAGCUUGUUGGUGGGGUAGGUGCUUACGAAGGGUUUGAAGGGUAGCCGGCCUGAGAGGGUGACCGGCGACCAUGGGACUGAGGUACGGAGCAGACUCGUACGGGAGGCAGCAGUGGGGAAUAUUGCACAAUGGGCGGAAGCCUGAUGCAGCAACGCCGCGUGCGGGAUGACGGCCUUCGGGUUGUAAACAGAUUUGGACUGUGACGAAGAGUGAGUGACGGUAAUGGGUAAAGAAGCAACGGCUAACUACGUG